RNAcentral lists this ribosomal RNA (434 nucleotides) under uncultured bacterium. Its description in RNAcentral is "partial 16S ribosomal RNA". It matches the Rfam family "Bacterial small subunit ribosomal RNA", at positions 29 to 507 of the family's 1533-position model. The record is from RNAcentral.
AGCGAACGCUGGCGGCAGGCCUAACACAUGCAAGUCGAACGAACCUUUCGGGGUUAGUGGCGGACGGGUGAGUAACACGUGGGAACGUGCCAUUAGGUUCGGAAUAACUCAGGGAAACUUGUGCUAAUACCGAAUGUGCCCUUCGGGGGAAAGAUUUAUCGCCUUUAGAGCGGCCCGCGUCUGAUUAGCUAGUUGGUUGAGGUAAUGGCUCACCAAGGCGACGAUCAGUAGCUGGUCUGAGAGGAUGAUCAGCCACAUUGGGACUGAGACACGGCCCAAACUCCUACGGGAGGCAGCAGUGGGGAAUCUAGCGCAAUGGGCGAAAGGCUGACGCAGCCAUGCCGCGUGAAUGAUGAAGGUCUUAGGAUUGUAAAAUUCUUUCACCGGGGACGAUAAUGACGGUACCCGGAGAAGAAGCCCCGGCUAACUUCGUG